This is a long non-coding RNA of Suricata suricatta (meerkat), 4686 nucleotides long. The record is from Ensembl. Lineage: Eukaryota; Metazoa; Chordata; Mammalia; Carnivora; Herpestidae.
AUGAGCUGGGUCCCGCUGCUCGUGCCCGGAGAUUGGGAGGCCAGACCCUGCCUGUGUCCCCAGGACCCCCUCCUGGCGCCGGUCCACACGAGCCACCGCCUCUUCCUGGAAGGCCUCACGUCAACACAGCUGCAUGCCUGCUGCGCAUGCAGGGGGCUCCCCGAGACCGCUGGGGACAGAGGUCAGGGGGGCUCCCCGAGGCCUCCGGCUGGGGACAGAGGUCAGGGGGGCUCCCCGAGGCCUCCGGCUGGGGACAGAGGUCGGCGGGGCUCCCCGAGGCCUCUGGCUGGGGAUAGAGGUCGGCGGGGCUCCCCGAGGCCGCUGGGGACAGAGGUCGGCGGGGCUCCCCGAGGCCGCUGGGGACAGAGGUCAGGGGGGCUCCCUGAGGCCUCCGGCUGGGGACAGAGGUCAUUUAAAUCCUAUCGCUCCACUUGGCCCCCUGGCUCCAGAGAAUGCUGGCAUCAGCCGUCGAAGUCACACGUGGGUCUCCUCGCCGUGCACUUGUGCCUGCCGGGGUGGGGGCGGCAGGUGCUGCGGGGGAAUCUGCCGGCUCGGGCUUCGGAGCCGAGGUGCCGGGGUCCACCGGGGUCCAUGCAGCCGGGGUGCUGGGUCCCAGGCAGGCCUCUGUGCUCUCCGGUGCGCUUCCGGAUCCGGUGCGCUUCCGGUUCCGGAAGGACCCUGGGCGCCCCAGGGGACAAGGGAACCCGUGGGCCUGUGGAAACAUAUCUGUGUGCGAUGACAGGAGACCAGAAACGGCAUUCGUGGCCUGAUCUUCACCGCGCGUGUCAUGAGCCAGAGGCUUCUUGCCCCCGUGGUGGCGCUUGAAGAUCUGGGGACAGCGCCCCGGGACAAGCUGCACUGGGUAUUUUUGGGUCCCCGGCGGCCGCCAGGCUGCGAGGAGGAGGUGUCCCCAGCAGAAUCCACGUCAGACUUGCCCUGGGCAGGAGGGCGAGGCCGGGGGUGUUUCCGGGAGAAGGGGCCCCGGAGGUUACGCUGGGGUGCAGGCUGGACACGGGGACUCCCCACCGCCCUGGGCCCGGCCGGAGCCCGUGUCCCUGUGGCUCACCUCCCCGGGGCGAGGGAGCACGAGCCCCUUGGCCCCGCCCCCCCAACAUCGGCUCACCUGCUGCGCAGUCCGGGCUGGGCCGACCGAGACCGUGGGUCUGAGGACAAGGGGGCGUUAGCGUUUUCGUGUUGGUGACGACUCCGUCUUAAAGAUCCUGUGGUCGGAGAAGACGGGACAAACAGGCAGAGAGGGACCGACGCGGGGCGUGGCUGACCACAGUGAACAGACCCCACCGACCCCCGGGUGCCCUCAGGGAUGGGACAGAAGGCCCGAGAAGACCCUCAGACCACCCCUCACGACGGAGACUCGCCACCCAGGAAGGAACCCCUGGCCCCCAGAGUCCUCGGCCAGUAAGGAGGACCAGGACCUGUGAGCGGGGACCCUCGCCCGCUGCCACCGGCGGUCCCUCCCAGUGUCCCCUCGUGACAGGGCUUCCCUGCCAUCUGUCCGAGCUCCUGCUGUCACUCCCUCCUGCCGCUGCCUCUUGGGGGCCUCUCCGCGUUCUUCGAGGCCGCGGGACGGGACCCCGGGUGCUGUGGGGAAACACCUGCAUCAACUCCUCACACAGAUUGAUCUCAAAAGUGGUUAUGCUUUCAUUUUUGUUCUUUCUUUAAUUUGGAGGCAUUUUAAAAAGAUUUUUUAAAGUUUAUUCACUUAUUUUGAGAGAGAGAGAGAACAAAUGGGGGAGGGGCAGAGAGAGAGAACGUGAGAGAGAAUCCCCAGCAGGCUCCACGCUGUCAGCACAGAGUCUGGCGCGGGGCUCGACCCCACGACCUGUGAGAUCAUGACCUGAGUCAAAAUCGAGAGUCCGACGCUCAACCGACUGAGCCCCCCAGGGGUCCCUGGAGGCAUCUAUUUUCUGACGACCUCAGGAAAAAUCAGUGUGGCAGGAUUGCCUUCCAAAGUGUGACUCUGUUUCCUGAAUAUGCCCCUCUCUGCUCCCCGGGCAGUGCCCCCGGCCUGAGGGUGAGAAGGGAAGACUCCCAGGAGCCCCUGGUCCACGGGAGACGCACCGUGUGUGCUCCCUGGCAGGUCUGUUUGUUUUUCAUGGCCUCGUGGACGGAUCAGACUGUGCCAGGGGCUACCCCCACCCACCCCGGGGCAGCGAGUCCUUCCCUGAGGGGGGUGGGGAUGGAACAUGUCCGUGUCUGCCAAGGACUUGACCCCAGACACAGACAGCAGCUGUCUGUGAAGAUGGAGCCCCCGAGGGCAGAGUCAGUGGCUGCCCCUGGAAGUUUCUAGUCCCUAGCACAGCCCCCCCCCGCCCGGCACACAGUAGGCUCUCCAAAUACACUGGAUGAACGAGUGAAUGAAUUUGGGGAGGUCCCUGGGGACAGGAUGAGGUUGUCCUCAGAUCCACGCCCGAACCAGGGGACCUGGAGGCUCCCUUCUGCCCCGAUGCUCCAAGGGGCAAGUGCACCUGUUAGAUAAAACCCUCCUCCUGCCCCGCCCCGCCCCGCCCUGCCGUGCUGGUGACAAGACCAAAUAUUUGCAGAGCCGUCUGUGGUUUCUCUGUGGUUGACAAUGGGCAACAUAGCAAACGAUGAUUUAUUUUUCUUUGCUUUAAUUGAAGUGUAAUUAACAUCCAGUGUCCGGUUGGAUUCAGGCAAACAGCACAGUGAUCCGUCACUUCCCUGCGUCACGCGGGGCCCAUGGCCGGCGCUGUUGUGGUCCCUCUGUGUCACCCCGCCCCCGCCCUCCGGCGACCACCAGUCCGUUCCCUGCAUCGAGCAGAAGGGUGUGAUCGCGGCCCUUGGACAGUGCCGGUGAUCUGGCAUGACCGUAAACGACCUACGAGCUCAUGAAUUGUUUCGUAAAUAUUUCUCCAAAACGUUUUAAAUCUUAUCGCCUUAAUUUCAUUGGAAUCACGGACUAUUUUGUCAUAGCCAAGCUUUCCACACGAUUUUGGCUUUCUCGACUGACAAAUCUCUGUGAUUAACAAGUAAAUCAAACCACACUCAGAGUAUACAAAAGGCAAAUUUCUUCGCAAAAACUCUUGCUGUUAAAAAUGGCAAAAUUAAAUUCAUUUUAUGUGCAUUUCCCCCGUUUUCUUCGAUAAUAUUCAGAUUUCCCGCUAAAAUUAAAGGCACGAUAUAAAUUACCAUCGAGGAACGUUAACAUUUCAUGUCAAAGAACACGUCCACAUCCCCUUACGCACUUCCCACGAGCGCUGUUUGCAGCCCUCGGGUCCGGGCCCCGGCAGGGCGGCGAGAACACCAGGCCGCCUUGUGUCUCCGGAAGCACAAAUGGGAAAAAGAGCGAGGAAGCGGAGAUUUGGUGCCGCUGGGAGACGCCCCGGGUUUGGGCGAGAACCGGUUGCGUCCCGGCUGCGAGUAUUGAAGGAGCGCCCGCCUCCGCCUCCGUGCAGCCCGCCGGUGUUUGUCACGGGAGGGGCACUGAGGGUGCAGGUUGGGUGACGCCAGGCGGACUCGCAGGGGACAGAGGUGUCCCUGCGACCCCUGCGGGAAUGUGUGCCUGUCUGUCUGUCAUCGCUGGGCCCUGGGAAGCACGAGUCCCGGGGAAGGGCCGCUCACCCUGCUCUGUGGGCCCUACGUUGUCUCUGGUGUUUUGAGAACGGAAGACACGUGUCCGUCUCGGGCACGGAGGGGAGCGGCCGAGCUGACACCGGCUCCGGGACUUGGAGCAUCCAGGGGAGACGGGCCGUGGCACGCGGGGGAGGGGGCUUCUUGGGGGCAGGGCUGCGCGUCACUCCUACCCGCGUCCUCGCCGGGCACGCGGAGCUGCUCAGAGCGCGGGGGCGUUGUCCCCACACAGGCCCCGUUCUCACGGCUCCCGGCUCAGCGCCAGCCUCUCAGGUCGGAGAGGACGGGUCGUGUGCGCAGGGUGUCGCGGCUCCGACCGUGGAGCCCGGGCCCCCACCUCCGGCGCGUCCGGUCCCUUAGCCCGGGGUCACCGCUGCAGCCCCAGGGUCACCGCUCUAGCCUCGGGGUCACCGCUGCAGCCCCCGGGUCACCGCUCCAGCCCCGGGGUCACUGCUGCAGCCCCGGAGUCACCGCUCCAGCCUCAGGGUCACCGCUGCAGCCCUGGGGUCACUGCUGCAGCCCCAUUCUGCUUACGGCGAGGCCCCGCAUCUCCCUGCAGCCCGGGCUGACCGGUGCGCCGCGGGGGUGCCCGUGGGCGAGGGUGCUGCCCGGCCACUUCUGCCUGCGCCCCGACUGAAGGGUCGUCAGCUCUGUGGACCCCUCACUCUGCGUGUCAGGCCAGAAGACGCCCUUUUCUUGGAGGAGGGAAUGAAUUCCCAGCACAUGGCCAGGCUGCCCUGCCUCUGGUGCGGGGGGGGGGGGGGGGGGGGCACGGGCACAGAGGCCCAGGGGCAUCGAAGGACACCUGUCCCGUCCGUCCUCUUCCCCAAACACUCAAAGUCCGAAAACUCGUUCUGGGGGUGCCUGGGGGCUCAGUCGAUUAAGUGUCUGACUCCGGCUCAGGUCAUGAUCUUACUGUUGGUGGAUUCAAACCCCAGGUCGGACUCUGUGCUGGCAGCUCAGAGCCUGGAUCCUGCUCCAAGUCUGUGUCUCCCUCUCCCUGCCCCUCCCCUGCUCACACUCUGUCUCUGUGUCUGUCUCUCUCCAAAAUAAACACUAAAAAGAAAAAGAAAAAAA